GAUGGCAUGACUGAGUGGUUAUAGUGAUUGAUUAGAAAUCAAUUGGGCUCUGCCCGCCCAGGUUCGAGUCCUGGUGUCGUCU
This is a non-coding RNA of Naganishia vaughanmartiniae, 82 nucleotides long. NCBI's taxonomy places the organism in Eukaryota, Fungi, Basidiomycota, Tremellomycetes, Filobasidiales, Filobasidiaceae. The record is from the annotation of a GenBank genome assembly.